CCUACGGGAGGCAGCAGUGGGGAAUAUUGCACAAUGGGGGAAACCCUGAUGCAGCGACGCCGCGUGAGUGAAGAAGGAAUUCGGUAUGUAAAGCUCUAUCAGCAGGGAAGAAAAUGACGGUACCUGAGUAAGAAGCCCCGGCUAACUACGUGCCAGCAGCCGCGGUAAUACGGAGGGGGCAAGCGUUAGCCGGAUUUACUGGGUGUAAAGGGAGCGUAGACGGCAGUGCAAGUCUGGAGUGAAAGGCGGGGGCUCAACCCCCGGACUGCUCUGGAAACUGUACGGCUGGAGUGCAGGAGAGGUAAGUGGAAUUCCUAGUGUAGCGGUGAAAUGCGUAGAUAUUAGGAGGAACACCAGUGGCGAAGGCGGCUUACUGGACUGUAACUGACGUUGAGGCUCGAAAGCGUGGGGAGCAAACAGGAUUAGAUACCCUUGUAGUC
Molecule: ribosomal RNA, 440 nt
Filed under: uncultured bacterium
Lineage: Bacteria
Description: partial 16S ribosomal RNA
Rfam family: Bacterial small subunit ribosomal RNA
Source: RNAcentral